UCCUUCUUGAGUAAUGAUUGAAGCUAUUCAUGUUUAGUAUCCGACUGUUGCCUAGUAAUGUCCAAGAUCUAUUGUGUACUCGGUCUUGGAUAUAUGGUUAUAUGCUUGAUGAUGAAGAUGAUAAUGGCGAAGGUGAGACUGUUGUAAUUAGAUCGAGGCCAACUGAUGUUGAAGACGUGAUCACGCAUCCACCAGAAUAAGUCUCAUUUAUUGUUCUUGAUCUCUAACAGGUUUACCUCGAGCUCCCCAAUGGUAAAGAAUUAGCUUAAGCACUCUACUCUAAGGUACACCAUUCCUGAUAUGCAUCUAGCUCUGUUUUGAUUUUCUUUUCUUUUCCUUUCAUGUUGUUCUUUAUGACCACUUUGUCUCUAUUCAUUUAACCCAAUGGCUAUGUUAAAAGUCUAGGAAAAGAAUGAUUAUUUUGUGUGGCUCUUUC
Long non-coding RNA from Brassica oleracea var. oleracea, 436 nucleotides. RefSeq lists it as uncharacterized. The transcript has 3 exons. NCBI's taxonomy places the organism in Eukaryota, Viridiplantae, Streptophyta, Magnoliopsida, Brassicales, Brassicaceae. The record is from RefSeq and is a predicted model, not a curated record.